Molecule: long non-coding RNA, 388 nt
Filed under: Haliotis rufescens (red abalone)
Lineage: Eukaryota; Metazoa; Mollusca; Gastropoda; Lepetellida; Haliotidae
Description: uncharacterized LOC125378354
Source: RNAcentral
CGACCACUGCCCAAGCACCUAGGCUUUGAAAGCAGACUGCCAUUUACCAUGCAUUUGAAGUUCGUCUUCCUCCUUCUUGUCGUCGCUGUUGCCGCCUCUAGCGGGUACAGAUCGCCCAACUACUGGAGGAACUUUGCUCAGUAUAACUAUAUGAGUGACAUGGACACUCCUGACUACAUGGACGACGACUACAACUCCAUGUACAUGUAUGGAAGAGGAUGGGGCUACCGCAAUACUGGGCGUGGCAACAACAACUUUUUCGGGAGAUACAACAGAUAUUAGACUUUUAAUAACCAGUUCUGAGAUGGUUUCCAAGGUAAACUAGGUUCUGCUUGAUAUACACACUGUAUUACAUCAGAGAAACUGAAUAAACAUCGAAUUGAAGGGA